Molecule: ribosomal RNA, 468 nt
Filed under: uncultured bacterium
Lineage: Bacteria
Description: partial 16S ribosomal RNA
Rfam family: Bacterial small subunit ribosomal RNA
Source: RNAcentral
GACGAACGCUGGCGGCGUGCUUAACACAUGCAAGUCGAACGGAAAGGCCCUGCUUGUGUGGGGUGCUCGAGUGGCGAACGGGUGAGUAACACGUGAGUAACCUGCCCUUGACUUUGGGACAACUUCAGGAAACUGGGGCUAAUACCGGAGAGGAGCUCCUGCUGCAGGGUGGGGGUCGGAAAGUUUCGGCGGUUGGGGAUGGACUCGCGGCUUAUCAGCUUGUUGGUGGGGUAGUGGCUUACCAAGGCUUCGACUGGUAGCCGGCCUGAGAGGGUGACCGGCCACCUUGGGACUGCGAUACGGCCCAGUCUCCUACGGGAGGCAGCAGUGGGGAAUAUUGCACAAUGGGCGGAAGUCUGAUGCGGCAGCGCCGCGUGCGGGAUGACGGCCUUCGGGUUGUAAACCGCUUUCGCCUGUGACGAAGCGUUAGUGACGGUAAUGGGUAAAGAAGCACCGGCUAACUACGUG